UACGUAGGGCGCAAGCGUUGUCCGGAAUUAUUGGGCGUAAAGAGCUCGUAGGCGGUUUGUCGCGUCUGCUGUGAAAACCUGAGGCUCAACCUCAGGCCUGCAGUCGAUACGAGCAGACUAGAGUGUUGCAGGGGAGACUGGAAUUCCUGGUGUAGCGGUGAAAUGCGCAGAUAUCAGGAGGAACACCGGUGGCGAAGGCGGGUCUCUGGGCAACAACUGACGCUGAGGAGCGAAAGCGUGGGGAGCGAACAGG
This 253-nucleotide ribosomal RNA is filed under the name uncultured bacterium. RNAcentral describes it as "partial 16S ribosomal RNA". It matches the Rfam family "Bacterial small subunit ribosomal RNA", at positions 524 to 776 of the family's 1533-position model. The record is from RNAcentral.